UUGCUUCCUCCUCUCCC
RNAcentral lists this microRNA (17 nucleotides) under Macrophomina phaseolina MS6. Its description in RNAcentral is "miR-1281". Lineage: Eukaryota; Fungi; Ascomycota; Dothideomycetes; Botryosphaeriales; Botryosphaeriaceae. The record is from RNAcentral.